AUGUCUCCCAAGUUCCCCGCACCCAGCGAAGGCACAAAGGCAGGGCGGGACCCAGGGGUGACUGUUUCUCGAGGGCUAGGGCCCGCCGUCGUGCGUGGCGCUGUACAGCGAGGGGAGACGAGCUGGAGGGACAAUGACAAUGUGCUCUCAGCCGUGGGCGUGGGGAGGGCACCGGCCAGCGGGGCUGGGCGGCCUCGUAGAGAUCCACCCGCUCGGGCGGGCGAACGCAGCCGCGGCUCCGCCCUGGGCCUGGCCGGGCUCCACAGGAAACUGCUGCUGCUCCCCUCUCCGCCUGGCCCCGCCGCGGGCUUCGCCUCCAGCCGCCGCCGGGGCUGCGGACCAGCCGCUUUCACUUUCGCCUUCGAGUCGUCUCCGCUGCUGGAGCCCCGGGACCCCCGCGCGCGGUCAGGUUGAAUACAUGGAGAGAGAAGAAGCAAGCUACCUAAGGAGGUAGGAAAUGGCCCUUUGUUUCCACUUGUUGUGAGUAACAAGGCCACCCAUCAUGUUUUCCCCUGUCUUCAUAUUACUGACAGCUGCAGGAGCGGGAGCUCCCUGUAAAAUUUUGUGUCUGGGAUGCAGAGGGGUGAGAGUGGGGGAAGCCCUCCCUGUUUCUUCCAUAAUCGUGUCACCAUGUUUGGUGGAGGUUCUUGGGUACAGAUUUAUCAGAUGGUGCUGAGUAAGACUUAUCCCAUCCAGAGUGACUCCAGAUUUUCUAGUAAGUACAAAGAAAUAGAUGUGGUGUUGCAUGUGCUUUACAAGCUUUUUACAUUGAGCUGCGGU
RNAcentral lists this long non-coding RNA (780 nucleotides) under Chrysemys picta bellii (western painted turtle). RNAcentral's name for it is "lncRNA (ENSCPBG00000011724.1)". Lineage: Eukaryota; Metazoa; Chordata; Testudines; Emydidae. The record is from RNAcentral.